This 67-nucleotide non-coding RNA is filed under the name human gut metagenome. Its description in RNAcentral is "Fluoride riboswitch". It matches the Rfam family "Fluoride riboswitch aptamer (crcB RNA motif)", at positions 5 to 61 of the family's 64-position model. The record is from RNAcentral.
UAAAAGGGAAUGAGGUUCUCCCGUAGUGUAAACUAAAACCGCUUUUAAAGCUGAUGACUUCUGCAAA